AUAUCUAAUUAAUAUUAUUAGGCAAAGACAACAAAAAAGAUUGUGCUAAGAAUGGAAUGCAGUGAAUGCAAAUGCAGGAAACAGCUUCCUAUAAAACGCUGCAAACAUUUUGAAAUUGGAGGAGACAAAAAGAGAAAGGGACAAAUGAUCCAGUUUUAGAAUUUUGCAGUUUAUUCAUUAAAUAUGUAAAAAAUAAAUAUUUCAUGGAGAAA
Centruroides sculpturatus (bark scorpion) is the source of this 212-nucleotide long non-coding RNA. RefSeq lists it as uncharacterized. The transcript has 2 exons. NCBI's taxonomy places the organism in Eukaryota, Metazoa, Arthropoda, Arachnida, Scorpiones, Buthidae. The record is from RefSeq and is a predicted model, not a curated record.